AAUGGGAAGAUUUUCACCCUGGCCACCACCACCUAGGUUACUUGUAAUUUAGGAGUAGAAACAGUACGUGGAGGGUGCUGGGAGAAUGGUGGGAUAAUUUUUGUGUUUUCAUAUAAUUCCCAUGCUUGUUCUUGGGACACUCAGUUUUCUUGCACUCAGAUUCUGUGUGAUCAUGAAAGCUCUUUUGAUUUUAAUUUCUCCUGUAGUAGGAGUUACCAAAAUGUCCUAACAGCGUUCGCUGCACUUACAUAGGUUAACUGGCCUUCAGAAUUCAAUCAUCCAGUGAGCUGCAAGAGAGACUUCAGUCUUAGGUGCUCUCAGUUGUGCUCUGUGCUGUGUGAGAUCUAUCAGUCAUGGAUAAGAGACAACAGGAGGCCGUUUCCAGACUAGCUGAAGUGAACACCGGCAGGAAGACAGAUGAAUACUUAAAGCCUAAUCAAGGCAAGAAAAACCUGCUGAACUUCAUACUAGGCAGACAGCUGGGAAAGCAGAAGAAUGAUGCAGAUAUGGCCAAGUGGCUGUGGACGCUGACACGAUCGACUCCAGGGUGGAGGUGGCCUUUGCCAAACCACCACAUUACUUACAUGCUUAUGCCCACCCCAAAUCAUUCAAAACGCUUCCAAAAGAGUGGAAAAUAAAACUUCUCCUUGUUUUGGCAGUUGA
This is a long non-coding RNA of Rattus norvegicus (Norway rat), 663 nucleotides long. RefSeq lists it as uncharacterized. Lineage: Eukaryota; Metazoa; Chordata; Mammalia; Rodentia; Muridae. The record is from RefSeq and is a predicted model, not a curated record.